Molecule: long non-coding RNA, 1250 nt
Filed under: Homo sapiens (human)
Lineage: Eukaryota; Metazoa; Chordata; Mammalia; Primates; Hominidae
Description: non-protein coding LINC00310:28
Source: RNAcentral
AGAGUUGUAGGCAAGUAGUUGGACAAAAAGCAAGAAGCUGAUCGAUGUUGCUGGCUUUGGAUUCUUUGUGAACAAAUGAGACAAGGCAAUUUUCUGGAGUGUUUGUGACUGGACUUUAACAUUUCCAAAAUGUGGCGACAGUGACUGUUAAGUCUUCCCAAAGACGAGGGUUCCUGGGAGCCCCAGGGCUGCAAGCAUCAGGACAGCAGAGACCAAAUUCAUCAUUGAAUCCUCAACAUCUAGCACAAUAUGCCUGGCAUAAGGUGAAGAGAAGAAGAGUAUGAACUACCACGAAACUCAUUUCCCUCCGUCCUUCAAUCAAAUACAAUGACCUUCAGCUACUCUCACCAUUCUCUACUGAAAACAUCCCAACUAUCUGGAAAGAACUCACCUAAAGUUCCCCAACAUCAAAUAAACCACGUUCCAAAAGAUUCAGAGCCAGAGAGAAACAAAACGCCCUUUGUUGAUGAAGCAUUUACUCAUACAUACAUACAAGUGUGUAUAUAUAUAUACACAUAUAUAUGUGUGUGUGUGUGUGUGUGUGUGUGUGUGUGUGUGUGUGUGUAUACAUAUAUAUAUAUAUUUUUUUUGAGACAGAGUCUCUGUCACCCAGGCUGGAGUGCAGUGGUGCAAUCUCGGCUCACUGCAACCUCUGACUCCCGGGUUCAAGUGAUUCUCUGCCUCAGCUUCCCAAGGAGCUGGGACUACAACAGGUGCAUGCCACCAUGCCUGGAUAAUUUUUGUAUUUUUCGUAGUGAAGGGGUUUUGCCACGUUGGCCAGGCUGGUCUUGAACAUUUACUGAAACAUUUUUGAAGGAUUCAUUGGCAUCAGAAUAUAAAAAGGGGCGUGUGCAAAAUGCCCUAUAUAAAAAUAUAUAUUUAAAACCUUGAUUACAGACAUAGUUCACAUUCAUUGCAGAAAACAUAGAGAAGCACAAAGAACAAAAUUAAAAUGACCUCUAACCUCAACACCUAGAGGACAGCAUUGUUAACACUUAGGCCACAUCCUUUCCUUUAUAUUUAUUCAUAUAAAUGGAACAAAUGAUGUUCCAAAGAUCAGAUCUCAUUGUAACCCCUGCCCUGCAUCAUCAUAGUGUACACAUUUACCCAUGUCAUUAAAUAGUCAUCUACAGUAUAAUUUUAUGCAUAGUAUUCUGUUGUAUGAAUGUGUCAUAAUUUUGUAAUUAUCUCCUAUUGUUGGACAUUUAGGUUGUCUCCAGUUUUCCCUUACUGUCUACAGCAUAGCAAUA